Molecule: ribosomal RNA, 253 nt
Filed under: uncultured bacterium
Lineage: Bacteria
Description: partial 16S ribosomal RNA
Rfam family: Bacterial small subunit ribosomal RNA
Source: RNAcentral
UACGUAGGGUGCAAGCGUUAAUCGGAAUUACUGGGCGUAAAGCGUGCGCAGGCGGUUAUGCAAGACAGAGGUGAAAUCUCCGGGCUCAACCUGGGAACUGCCUUUGUGACUGCAUAGCUAGAGUACGGUAGAGGGGGAUGGAAUUCCGCGUGUAGCAGUGAAAUGCGUAGAUAUGCGGAGGAACACCGAUGGCGAAGGCAAUCCCCUGGACCUGUACUGACGCUCAUGCACGAAAGCGUGGGGAGCAAACAGG